This 491-nucleotide ribosomal RNA is filed under the name uncultured bacterium. Its description in RNAcentral is "bacterial SSU rRNA". It matches the Rfam family "Bacterial small subunit ribosomal RNA", at positions 30 to 507 of the family's 1533-position model. The record is from RNAcentral.
UGAACGCUAGCUACAGGCUUAACACAUGCAAGUCGAGGGGAAACGAUAUUGGAAGCUUGCUUCUGAUAGGCGUCGACCGGCGCACGGGUGAGUAACGCGUAUCCAACCUGCCCAUCACUUGGGGAUAAUCUUGCGAAAGUAAGACUAAUACCCAAUGACGUCUCUAGAAGACAUCUGAAAGAGAUUAAAGAUUUAUCACUGAAGGAGGGGAUUGCGUCUGAUUAGCUAGUUGGAGGGGUAACGGCCCACCAAGGCGAUGAUCAGUAGGGGGUUCUGAGAGGAAGGUCCCCCACAUUGGAACUGAGACACGGUCCAAACUCCUACGGGAGGCAGCAGUGAGGAAUAUUGGUCAAUGGACGAGAGUCUGAACCAGCCAAGUAGCGUGCAGGAUGACGGCCCUAUGGGUUGUAAACUGCUUUUAUAAGGGAAUAAAGUGAGUCUCGUGAGACUUUUUGCAUGUACCUUAUGAAUAAGGACCGGCUAAUUCCGUG